ACGUGAGAGAAUGGUUACCGCGGCUGCUGGCACGGAGUUAGCCGGUGCUUCUUCUGUGAGUGAUGUCCUUCCUGCCGGCUAUUAACCCGCAGGCCUUCUUCCUCACUGAAAGUGCUUUACAACCCGAAGGCCUUCUUCACACACGCGGCAUGGCUGGAUCAGGGUUGCCCCCAUUGUCCAAUAUUCCCCACUGCUGCCUCCCGUAGGAGUCUGGGCCGUGUCUCAGUCCCAGUGUGGCUGAUCAUCCUCUCAGACCAGCUACGGAUCGUCGCCUUGGUGAGCCGUUACCUCACCAACCAGCUAAUCCGACAUAGGCUCAUCCGAUAGCGCGAGGCCCGAAGGUCCCCCGCUUUCCCCCGUAGGGCGUAUGCGGUAUUAGCCUGGGUUUCCCCAGGUUAUCCCCACUACCGGGCAGAUUCCUAUGCAUUACUCACCCGUCCGCCGCUCGCCACCAGGGAGCAAGCUCCCCGUGCUGCCGCUCGACUUGCAUGUGUUAGGCCUGCCGCCAGCGUUCAAU
Molecule: ribosomal RNA, 517 nt
Filed under: uncultured bacterium
Lineage: Bacteria
Description: partial 16S ribosomal RNA
Source: RNAcentral